GACGAACGCUGGCGGAGGGCGGAACACAUGCAAGUCGAACGCUGAAGCUCAGCUUUUGUUGGGUGGAUGAGUGGCGAACGGGUGAGUAACACGUGAGUAACCUGCCCCCUUCUUUGGGAUAACGCCCGGAAACGGGUGCUAAUACUGGAUAUUCACUGGUCUUCGCAUGGGGGUUGGUGGAAAGGGUUUUUCUGGUGGGGGAUGGGCUCGCGGCCUAUCAGCUUGUUGGUGGGGUGAUGGCCUACCAAGGCUUUGACGGGUAGCCGGCCUGAGAGGGUGACCGGUCACAUUGGGACUGAGAUACGGCCCAGACUCCUACGGGAGGCAGCAGUGGGGAAUAUUGCACAAUGGGCGCAAGCCUGAUGCAGCGACGCCGCGUGAGGGAUGGAGGCCUUCGGGUUGUGAACCUCUUUCGCUCAUGGUCAAGCCGCAACAAUGGUUGUGGUGAGGGUAGUGGGUAAAGAAGCGCCGGCUAACUACGUG
RNAcentral lists this ribosomal RNA (483 nucleotides) under uncultured bacterium. Its description in RNAcentral is "partial 16S ribosomal RNA". It matches the Rfam family "Bacterial small subunit ribosomal RNA", at positions 28 to 507 of the family's 1533-position model. The record is from RNAcentral.